CUCACAGCCGCUCAACCAACGGCCUCGUCUCCCACCAUUGCUGCCUCUCCCUCUCACACCUCGCCGGCACCUCUCCCUCCAUCGCGUCGCUGGCGCCUCUCCCUCUCGUGAUGCCGUUGCCUCUCCGUUGGCCCCGUCGCUAUCGCCCCUGAUGUGUUGCGGUGCCAUGAACUGGCCUCACAGGCAUGGCCAAGGUGACGACAGCUCCUCGAUGCCGCCGCCCUCUACAAGGAGCGACGACAUCUCCAAGCUCUGCGGCACGGCAUGCACCGAGCGACGCGCCGUGGGGCACCGCCACCUCAACCACUAGCAUGGCCGACCACCCAUCCACGUGCCCACCGCUGCCGUCGGCUGGCCACAUGACAUCGCUCUCGUCCAGCUCGAAGCACGCGCCAUCGUCGCUCGCCUUCGACUCCUCCAGCAGGUCAAGAAACCGGAACACCCCCCGCGCUUGGCUACCUUGGCAUCUCCAUUGACCGUCUCAGCAAGCGCUACCUCGCCCAGCUCUUGCAUAGACGAUGCAAGCCAAGAAACAGUGAGUGCUGGCAGUAGUACUCUGAAUCCAUCAAUGCAACUGAAUCUAAACAUGUGAAUCAAGCUAUGGCAGGAGUAAGAGAAAAGGAACAAACAUAAAUAAGCUACUUCAAUAUUAUGGUACAUAGGGAGUAAGUUUGAGCUAAGUUUUCUCAUGCAUUUCCUAGUAAGUAUAAAAAAAGAUUUAUUUGUAUGAUCCAUGUUUAAUGAAUAUAUAUCCUUUUUACUUUAAUAUAUAUGUUUUUUGUACAGCAAACGUUGCCGAUCCAAGGUCCCAAGAAGCCCAAGCCCACUCUCGCAUUCAGUCAUUGCCCUCAUGGGCCAACCAGCACCCACUAACUCCACGUGAUUCUGCUCGGCCAUGUCACUCAACAUGAACAUCUCCUCGAGUAAGUAGCAACACCCCCAUGGUCGUCUAAAUUUUCAUAUUAUUUUUGUGUGUGUGAUGAUGUUGCCUUCUCUUUUCCAUUGCUGAUGAGCUACCCAAGAAUUGAUUUGAUCUCCAUGCACGACUCUGUAGCACCGACUACCAUCCACCACGGGUACGGAUCAUGUGAUGUGGGGUGUAGACAUGCUGAUUGGAGAAGCCAAUUUUGCCAUGGUCAUUGUCGGUGUCAAAACCGGCAGAUCUCGGGUAGGGGUCCCGAACUGUGUAUCUGAGGAUCGAUAGUAACAAGGGAUGAUUGGGACACGAUGUUUACCCAGGUUCGGGCCCUCUUAAAGGAGUUAAAACCCUAUGUCCUGCUUGAUUGUAUUCAGUGAGUAU
Triticum dicoccoides is the source of this 1300-nucleotide long non-coding RNA. RefSeq lists it as uncharacterized. The record is from RefSeq and is a predicted model, not a curated record. NCBI's taxonomy places the organism in Eukaryota, Viridiplantae, Streptophyta, Magnoliopsida, Poales, Poaceae. The transcript has 3 exons.